AGUACAAUCCUUUUGGGCUGGCUUCUCCAUUUCCCCCCGCUUGAUCUCUUCACAGUUCUGUCCAAGAGCCCACCACACUCAGGGGAAGCCAGCUCUUCCUGCAGAAGUCAGACCAGCAGAAGGAACUUCCAGGCCCAUGAAUUCACACUUCAGAGGGACAAACAAAAAGAAAGGAGAAAUGGAUAUGGAAAUGACCGGCAGAAUCCGAGACCAGGGAGAAGAGUCGGUGGAAGAAGAUUGGAAGAAAUUUAAAGACUAUUUACAGAAAC
Molecule: non-coding RNA, 269 nt
Organism: Podarcis muralis (Common wall lizard)
Lineage: Eukaryota; Metazoa; Chordata; Lepidosauria; Squamata; Lacertidae
Source: RefSeq, a predicted model, not a curated record